GCCUCUAAAGGAUAACGGCCAUCCGUUAGCCGUAGGAGCUAAUUAUUCUUGGUUCAAAUCCAAGUAGUGGUU
Molecule: transfer RNA, 72 nt
Filed under: Muraenesox cinereus (daggertooth pike conger)
Lineage: Eukaryota; Metazoa; Chordata; Actinopteri; Anguilliformes; Muraenesocidae
Description: tRNA-Leu
Source: RNAcentral